Molecule: ribosomal RNA, 254 nt
Filed under: uncultured bacterium
Lineage: Bacteria
Description: partial 16S ribosomal RNA
Rfam family: Bacterial small subunit ribosomal RNA
Source: RNAcentral
UACGUAGGGUGCGAGCGUUGUCCGGAAUUAUUGGGCGUAAAGGGCUCGUAGGCGGUUUGUCGCGUCGGGAGUGAAAACACUGGGCUUAACUCAGUGCUUGCUUCCGAUACGGGCAGACUAGAGGUAUUCAGGGGAGAACGGAAUUCCUGGUGUAGCGGUGAAAUGACGCAGAUAUCAGGAGGAACACCGGUGGCGAAGGCGGGUCUCUGGGCCGAUACUGACGCUGAGGAGCGAAAGCGUGGGGAGCGAACAGG